UCUUUCUACACACACACACACACACACACACACACACACUGGCCCAGAAGACAGGUUCUAAGGCAAGGGGUGGAGCUCAGGUUCACAGGGCUCACAGGCCCAUUUCCCUCAGGAACUGGAAGUUGUCUCCUGGAACUUCAACUGAUCUUCUUCUAGAAAGAUUAUGCAUCUACUGUCAGGAAGCUCCAAGGCAAAACUUGUAUCAUGGUUCCUUGACUUAAGUUUUAAAAAAACCUUCCUACAGGAACAUGACUUUCUGCCAUUUCAGACAAAUCCAAUCAUGGCCAAUUGUCAUCUGACCAAUUUUGUUUUUUAACAGUGCUGGGGAUUGAAGCCAGGGCCUCAAGAAUGCUAGACAAGUGCUCCGCCACUGAGCUACACUCUCAGUCCCAUCUUACCAGUGUUUUAAAAUUUUAAAUGUUAGACCUCGGUGUUUAUUUUCUCUUUUUUUAUUGGUGAUUUCCCAACCCAAGUGCAUAAAAACAAAACUAUUUUUUCUUUUUGUUAUAACUGAACAUUUCCAAGGGCAAGAGAACAGCAUUAAUAAAUGAAACUUUAAGCACACACAUAUAUAAUUAUCCAUUAUAUACACAUGAGAGGAUCACACAUAAUUAGUGUCUCAUUGUCACCUAUUCAGAACCACACCCAGUCCCACACAAGGGAUGUGACCUGCGCACACCUCUGCACAGCUCUUUUUGCCUUUGUUUCUUCUUCUCUAAAAUAAUGAUAAUAAUUUCCCUUUCCCUUUUCAAAAGUUUCUUGGGAGAAAAUGUGCAUGCACCUGAUUCAUAAAAUGUAAGGUAUGACCAUACUUAACAUCGGGUGCUCUUGACAGAGACAGAAACUGAGACCCAAUGUCCUUGACUUGACACAUAGGGAGGUACCUACUUGGGAACCAGGUGUUUUUAACUGGGGACACACACACUCAGCUUAGUGCCUCCUGCUUGCUGCUGAGCUGUCUGGUCACAGUUACCUGAACACAGGGCCCAGGGUUGGGGCAGUGCCAGGACCAGGGCCUGGGCCCAGGGGAAGGCAGCUGAGGCCAUUGUGCUAAGCAGCCUGUGGCAUACUGGAGGGGCUAUGAGGAGGAAGGAAACUUCUUUGCUCUUGGAUCUGAUAUUCUUUCUCCAAAGCCAACAAAGUGAUGCUACAAUGUUGAGCCCUGUAUCUCAAGCCCCUCCAGCCUCCUCCCUCUGGCUGUGCUUCUCUUUGUCUCCUAGCCCUUACCCCUGUCCCACACUGUCUCUGGAGCCCUUUUGCUCAUUGCCCACCCCAUUGAUUGAAAGUCUCUCUCAGGUUCUCCAAGGAAUCCCAGGAAAAAUGAUCCGCCAGCCUAUUGAUUCUUCAUUAGAAUUACAUUUUCACGUGUGCUAAAUUGGUUUUAAAAGCUUUUUCUGUUGUUAUUGUCUUGUCAGACCCUGCGGUCCAGGGCAAACCAAGUUUAAACGUUGUGGCUUCUUAGGGGGAAAAAAAUCACCAGGGCUGGGUCUGUGAUUACCUACUUUUCUGCCUUAUUGUUGUCAUGAUGACAAUUGUGAUUUGGUUUAAGUAUCUUUAAGAAAAGGGCCCUGUAGGAGACUACUUAGGUCAGGCUGGAGCUGGCUAGUGAGGAAUCUGAAGCCCCUGGAGGAAAGACACCAGAG
This 1643-nucleotide long non-coding RNA is filed under the name Marmota monax (woodchuck). The record is from RNAcentral. Lineage: Eukaryota; Metazoa; Chordata; Mammalia; Rodentia; Sciuridae.